CUUCAAGCACCAGCGACUGGAUGUCAUUGUCUGUAAUCCGUUUUAUGUGGCCGUUCCUGACCUAUAGCACAAGCAACAUUUUGAAAUGGCCCAAGUACCAGAUGAAUCUCCACAUUGCUGCCUCCCGAGCCACCGCAUUUCUCAGUACCAUCCACACACUGCUUAAAUUCUCCAGCAAAGAGGCCCAGCUCAUACUAAACAAGGGCGGCUGCAUUCCACUGCUCCUAGCUGUCGAAGCCGGCAUGUUGGAAUCGUUAAGGAGCUCCUUAGAACUCUAGCCGAGCCUCGGCUUAGGGCUCAGAAAACAGGAAGAGCCAACUAAGAUGUCUGGGGUUGCAUGGGCCUAGCAAAGUGUUUGAUUUAUGAAUAAACAGCUAUACUGUAGCAUUAUUAAUAAUACUACCUUAUGUUAUUGAUACAUAAUAAAGUAUGAGUUAGGGUUUUAAAAUAACUUAGUAGCUCUGGAUAGGAAAUCCGUGUAGUUACUAGUCAAUUAAUGGACAGUUAAGUAAAUCAAAAAUGGUUGACAAUUAAUUUGAUAUUAAAGAUGCACUCCAGGAACUUAAGCACAACAUUAGUAACAUACAGUAUGAAUUGGAUUCAUAACAUAUCAUACAAAUUGCACAAUUUUUUUUAUAAAAACAUAGGACGUAACAUAUCAUACGAAAUGGAUAAUGUAGUAAACAAUUUCAUCACAUACUACACAAAAAAACAGAGACCACUUAUGGCUCUUGAGCUCCACUUUCAAAACUACUGACUGAAAUUAUACAGUCAACAAAUAGGUGUACGAUGGGUACACCCAAUCAACUAUAGUACUAUGUCACAUAACACCAGUCUAGUAUGUACUGUAUAACAUUAUGUCACAUAACACCAGUCCAGAAUGUAUAACAUUAUAUCACAUAACACCAGUCUAGAAUGUAUAACAGUAUGUCACAAAACACCAGUCUAGUACCUGUAACAUGUCACAUAACACCAGUCUAGUAUCUAUAACAUGUCACAUAACACCAGUCUAGUAUCUAUAACAUGUCACAUAACACCAGUCUAAUAUAUAUAACAUGUCACAUAACACCAGUCUAGACUCUAUAACAUUAUGUCAACUAAACACC
Salvelinus sp. IW2-2015 is the source of this 1106-nucleotide non-coding RNA. Lineage: Eukaryota; Metazoa; Chordata; Actinopteri; Salmoniformes; Salmonidae. The record is from RefSeq and is a predicted model, not a curated record.